UGUUUAAACUGUUUAUGGGAUUGUAUAUAUUGCACAUAUUUUUUAAAUAGUGAAGUUCAAUAUUUAUAAACUUAUCCAUACGACAUUAAAUAGUUUUUUCAAAACGAGUUAAUAUACAAAUAAUAUAGAAGGCGCGUGUGUUACACACCUCGUAAAAUCUUACUAUAAAUAAAUCUAUAGCUAUAUAUAUAUAUAUAUAUAUAUAUAUAUAUAUAUAUGUAUAAGCUAAAAGCGACUUACUCUCAAUUUAUGUUGCCUAUUAGGUUAUGAAAACGCACCGUUAAAACACAAACAAAACUUCCAUAAAGUUUUCAAAUAUGGAGAAAUAUAAACGUAAAAAAUCCCCCGCCUAUGAACGCACAGCUUACCAUACAACAUAUGAUAGUGAUUCUGACAUCAAUAACACAAAUGCACAUAAUAACAAUAACAUAAUAAGUGACAUGGAAGGUGAUUUAUUACCACAUGAAGUUUUGCAUAAAAUUGAUUAUGUGUUUGAUAAUAUGAAAGCAAAGAAAAAGAAUCAUACAGACAAGAUAAAAAUAAAUAAAAAAUUAGUUUUUAAAAAUGAUAUGUUAAGUAAUGUGUUAAAUAGUUCUCAAAAAAUGAAAAAAAUACAUAAUAAUCUAUUCAGCGUUGAUGUCAAUGAUUAUGUGCCGGUUACGCCUCCAGAAGUAUAUACAAGUAAUGUCCCCCCGAGGCCUCAUCAUCAUAAUAACACUACUGUGAACAUAGACGAAUAUAACAAAUUAAAAGAAAAUGCAAAUAAAUUUACAAACGAUGUUUUAAAUCAGAAGGAAUAUACUUAUAACGCAAACUUUGUUCUAAAUCCGAAUACUAAAAAGAACAAAAAUAUGGAUAAUAGUGAAGAAAAUAAUAACAACAUUCGAUCUGUGAUAAAGCCAAGUACUUCUGCCAUAGGAGAAAUUAAAGUUAAUAUAGAUGAUAUAAAAUCUGGCUUGUUAUCAUAUUACUCUAAUAUUUUUUCGCUAGAUCAUUAUGAUAUAGAAAGUAGACUUAAUAUUUUAAAAUAUGGUGAUAAAAAUACCUCUGAUAGCUUGAAUGUAAGAUAUACAUACUCCAAACAAAAUGGACAUGAUAAUACAAUUCCUUUAAUCUAUAAAAACGAUAAAUUACAUAACCCUGGAUAUUUAAAUGAUUGUCUUGUAUUACCCUCAGCACAUUCUUGUUAUAACAAUCAGAAUGGUAAUUUAAAAAAUAAUAAUAUAUACUCGAAUUUAGAAAAAAGAGAGUUUAUUGAUCAGUUUGACACCAACGACAAUGACAAUUUAAAUGUAUAUGAUGAUGAGGGAAAAAUAACUAAUGUCCUAACUAGUUUGAAACGUAAAUGUGAAAAUGCAAAGUUUAAAACAGAUCAGUUAAAUUUUCAAUUUAGCAAAAAGUAUGAAAACCCGGAUAAUAGAUGUUGGAUUUAUGAUGUUGUUCCAGCGCACUUAAGAAGACCAGGAUUAGAUGAUAAUGAUGGAUUAAGACAACACAUAACUACGACGUACGCUCAACUAUACAAUGAAGCAAUGUUGAAUAAAAAAAAAAUUUCAUCUCUUGAAAAAAAAUUACAUUUAUUAAAAGUAAAAAGUAGCAUGUUUGGGAAAGGGUUGAAAGUAGACACGAGGAAUGCUCUAUAA
Piliocolobus tephrosceles (Ugandan red Colobus) is the source of this 1643-nucleotide long non-coding RNA. Lineage: Eukaryota; Metazoa; Chordata; Mammalia; Primates; Cercopithecidae. The record is from Ensembl.